RNAcentral lists this ribosomal RNA (253 nucleotides) under uncultured bacterium. RNAcentral describes it as "partial 16S ribosomal RNA". It matches the Rfam family "Bacterial small subunit ribosomal RNA", at positions 524 to 776 of the family's 1533-position model. The record is from RNAcentral.
UACAGAGGGUGCAAGCGUUGCUCGGAUUUACUGGGCGUAAAGCGUGCGCAGACGGCAAGGCAGGUCGGGUGUGAAAGCCCCGGGCUCAACCCGGGAAUUGCAUUCGAAACCAUCUUGCUCGAGUGUGGAAGAGGGAAGCGGAAUUCCCGGUGUAGAGGUGAAAUUCGUAGAUAUCGGGAGGAACACCAGCGGCGAAGGCGGCUUCCUGGUCCAUUACUGACGUUCAGGCACGAAAGCGUGGGUAGCAAACAGG